RNAcentral lists this ribosomal RNA (253 nucleotides) under uncultured bacterium. Its description in RNAcentral is "partial 16S ribosomal RNA". It matches the Rfam family "Bacterial small subunit ribosomal RNA", at positions 524 to 776 of the family's 1533-position model. The record is from RNAcentral.
UACGUAGGGUGCGAGCGUUGUCCGGAUUCAUUGGGCGUAAAGAGCGUGUAGGCGGCCAGGUAGGUCGGUUGUGAAAACUGGAGGCUCAACCUUCAGAGGUCGACCGAAACCAUCUGGCUAGAGUCCGGGAGAGGAGAGUGGAAUUCCUGGUGUAGCGGUGAAAUGCGCAGAUAUCAGGAAGAACACCCGUGGCGAACGCGGCUCUCUGGAACGGUACUGACGCUGAGACGCGAAAGCGUGGGGAGCGAACAGG